Molecule: RNA transcript, 7557 nt
Organism: Mus musculus (house mouse)
Lineage: Eukaryota; Metazoa; Chordata; Mammalia; Rodentia; Muridae
Gene: Pdss2
Gene name: prenyl (solanesyl) diphosphate synthase, subunit 2
Exons: 8
Source: RefSeq, marked validated
UUAAUUUUCCAAAACUGAUUACCACUAGAUACAAUGCAACCUUUUAACUGUUAAGUAUAAAGGAAAGUGCUGGUUAUUUAAAGUAAAUGGGAGCAGAAGUCCCAUGAAUAAUCAAAAACGUGGCUAACAGACCAAGACCAGAGAAUAAUGCACUUGGCUUUUGUGAAGAAAUUAAAGUACAUACUGUGAAUUUUCAUUAAAGCAAAUGUGUGAAAAGUUACUCUUAAGGUACCAUGAUCUUGAAGAAGCAGCCUCAGAUGCUCGAUAUAUUACACUCAGUCUCUCUCUUUCUCUGGAUUUUUCUGACUUCCUUCUCCUUGGACAACCCAGCUUAGGUCUUAGAACUCUUUAGAAUGAUAAAAUAUUUCACCUUUUACAUUUAUUUUUACAUAGUAGUAUACUUGGAUUUUAUUGCUAGGAAUCUUACAUAGGAACUCCCUUAUGGGGAGACUGUUUUUAAAUAUAAUUCACCUUUAAUUAAUAUGCUGUUUUAUCUAUGGAGCCCUCACUCUGGAGCCCUGGCUAGCCUAGAACUGGCUAUGUAGACCAGGCUGCUCUUGAACCUAGAGAUCCUUCUGCCUCUGCCUCCUGAGUGCUUGUAAGCACCACCAUUCCUGGCUCAAAAACAGAAUCUUUAAAUCACAGGAGACUUGGCACUCAAAGGGAGUUUGCCGCUAAACCUUCUGUGGCUAAAAGCAUCUUGUGUGAACAAUUUCUCUUUGUUUUUCUAGUUCAUUUACAUAAUGUGAGCUUAAAAAAUACCAACUAUGAAUUUUGAAAGCUCACAUGAAUUUUAAAAACCAUUCCUGAGUGUAAAAUGUAGGUAACAAGUCGUUUAUUAUUUUUAUAUUACUGAUCUUAAUGUUACUUUUUUCUUCCCAAGGGAUUGAAUUUAAGGUUUUGUAAUUUUUAAUUUUUUUAUGAUUAACAAGGACUUCAACACUUGUUUUGUCUAAUUAGAAAGGGCAAGAUGCUAGACGUGCUUGAAUAGGUGGCACCCGAAGAGCAGAGUGGCCCUCUGGCCCUCGUCUGUAAUCCCAGGACUUGAGAGGUGGAUGGGGUCAAGAAGUUACAGGUCAGUUUGCUACACAGUAAGAAGUCUCAGGCCACUGUGGCCUAGGGGAAAAAAAAAACGUUCCAUCCAACACUGAAAGCGUCGUCACACUGACAAUUUUACUUUAGCAAUGAGAAAGAAUUUUUGGUAACAUAUUACUUAAUGUUGUGGUUAAGAGUAUGUAUUCAAAUAACCAAAUUGUUAGGUCGGGUAUGUGGUUCCGAAGUAGAGCACUAGCCUAGCAUUACUGCAUGAGGCCUGGCCUCUAUCCCUAGUACCCAAAGGAGAGGAGAAAAAAAGAUACCAGAUCCUCUAGGUUCACAUUUUGCUUAAUGUGACCAUAACAACUUACAAUUUGGCUGUGCCUCAUUCCGUUCCCCCCCAUCCCCCCUAAAAUCCGGGGAAUAGUAUUAUCUUUAAAACUCAACAAAAGAUUAAGUGAGCUAAUAUGUGAAAUGCACUCAUGCCAGUGAAUUUUCAGUCCCGGAGCAAGCGACGUUUCAUUCCAUUCUCACAGCAUCCUUAUUUUCUGGAUUUUUCACAGAAAUCCUGGCACUUCGGCCAGGAAGCUGAGGGAAGCAGGGCUCAGCCUCACCGAUCCACUUGCGUUCCAGCUCUGGGGGGGCCGCGGAGGAGACGUCGUCGCCCAGCUAGCGGGGCCGCCCUCCCGGGUCCGCGGCCCCCACCAAGGGCCUAAGGCGCCCAGGAGCAAAAGGCUUCCGGACGAGCCUGCGCCACGGGCCUACGAUCUCGCCGCGGACCCACGAUACAGACAUUUAUUUACAUAAGCUUCACUCUGCGUUGGGCCGGGAGAAACGCUGCAGAGACCCCGAGAGCGCCUAGAUCCAGGGCUAGCGGGGUGCCAAAGGGCGGACACCGACGUCCUGGGGCACAGGCUCCCUUCCAUCUCUCGCCUUCCGGUCAUCACUGAGGGUCCGCCCCUUAGUGGGGAGGUCCCAGCUGUGCCGUAAAGUAAAGAGCACUCUUUGCCGCUCAUCAGCCCGCCCCUAUCUUUACGGCAGGCCGCAUUUCAUGCCUCCAACAUGGCGCCCCCCAUGUAGGCACUGGCUGUGGUUACCAGCGCAGGUAUCCAGUGCAGUUCUGAGCAGCCGCUGGGGUUACGCCAGUCUGCGCUGCAGAAGCAGCAAACGUUAUUCCUGGUUACGGCUCCAGAAAGCCAUACUUCUCUGAGGGUUUGGAAUCGCCGUCUCCUGUUAGAUUCUGAAAGUUUCUCCUCAGCCCUUGUUUGCUUCCCGUGUCAUUUCUGGCCACCUUCCUCAGGUCCCCGACCCUCUCAGACUCAAAACUAUGAGCCUCCGGCAGCUGCUGUUGCGCUUGUCCGGUUACCUCGGGGCUUCAGGUCCCCCCAGUCGCCACUGGUGGUACUUCAGAUCCCUCGACAGCAUCUCCUCGGCGGGCUCCUGGCGCGGGCGCUCCUCCAGGUCACCGGCCCAUUGGAACCAGGUGGUGUCCGAGGCGGAGAAGAUCGUGGGCUACCCCGCAUCCUUCAUGAGCCUGCGCUGCCUGCUGAGCGACGAGCUCAGCAAUAUCGCCAUGCAGGUGCGGAAGCUGGUGGGGACGGGACACCCUCUGCUUACCACUGCCAGGGCCCUCGUGCACGACAGCCGGCAUAACCUACAACUGCGGGGCCUGGUCGUGCUCCUCAUAUCAAAGGCUGCGGGGCCCAGCACUCGGAACGCUGCGUGUCAGAACUACGACAUGGUCAGUGGGGUAUACUCAUGUCAAAGAAGUUUGGCAGAGAUCACAGAACUUAUCCAUACUGCUCUCCUGGUGCAUCGUGGGAUAGUAAACUUAAGUGAAUUACAGUCAUCUGAUGGACCACUGAAAGACAUGCAGUUUGGAAACAAAAUAGCUAUCCUGAGUGGAGACUUCCUUCUAGCAAAUGCAUGCAAUGGACUAGCUCUUCUACAGAACACCAAGGUUGUGGAGCUUUUAUCAAGUGCUCUUAUGGACUUGGUGCAUGGAGUAUACCAGGAGAACUCUGCUUCCACCAAGGAAAAUUCUAUCCCAGAUGAUAUUGGAAUCUCGACCUGGAAGGAGCAGACUUUCCUGUCCCAUUGUGCCUUGCUAGCGAAGAGCUGCCAGGCUGCAAUGGAGUUAGCAAAGCAUGAUGCUGCGGUCCAAGACAUGGCAUUCCAGUAUGGGAAGCACAUGGCCAUGAGUCACAAGAUCAAUGCUGACCUCCAGCCUUUUAUUAAAGACAAGGCCAGUGACUCUAAGACUUUUAACCUAAACUCAGCACCUGUAGUCUUACAUCAGGAGUUUCUUGGAAGAGAUUUGUGGAUUAAGCAGAUUGGAGAGGAUCCAGCUAUGGUUGCCUCACCUCCAUGGUGAUCGGACGCCCCCUUCAGCCUCUGUAGGCACUAAUCACAAAGGGAUGCACAUACAUGGAUGGUAAAGCGCUCAUCCACAUACAACACUUGUGUUGAAUGGACACUGCUUGCCUGCAUAGAGAGUGAGGAUUAUUGACUGGUCACAGAAGCAAGAAGAUUGCUUCCUCUUAGAACCUGUUCAGCAGCAGUUUGAAGAGUACCUUGGGAGUUUUGAAUCGGGCUCUGCCUCCUCUGAAUCCUCCUUCAGCUAUCCUAAGGAUCAAUGGAUCGAUACUGUGUUGCCAAGCCCUGAGCCAUAAGCAUAUACACCCUCUCUCAGGAGACAGUUAGGGACAGAGACCUACCUGGGCCAGAUGGCAGCUGAGUGUGUACUGAGCACUGUCUCCAUACCGAACAGAUCCUCACUACCUUAAUUUUAAAUGUAAAUGUAAGCUGCUGAAAGGUAAUGAUCGGUGAGACUGUAGUCGGUGAAUGGGUGGAAAGUCAUUACGCAGUUUUCAUUUUGACUCUAAUGAAAGAGAGUGUAUCCUUCAGAGAACUGCAGCGCUCUGACUCUCAGGGCAUCCAGGAGCUAUUGCAGGUCAGCAAGCUUUAUUUUUAAUGAUCCUGCUAGUUUUCUGCUGCCAUCAUAAGUCACCUGAAGAAAUAAGAAUCAUGAUUAAAAUCUCGGCUAUCCCUGAAAGUACUGACAUGUCACUUAGGCUCGCCACGUUCUGACACUGUCAUAACCAUGCAAUACCUCAAGUGCAUGACCCAUUGCUAUUGCUGGCGUACCGCACUUGUUCCUGAUACCAUGCUGUUACUUUUUACUGAAGAAGGGAAACAAAGGCUGCCAGAUAAGUCUGCUGUGCAUUAAAAUGAUACAUGCAGUUUCUUAAAUGGAAGAGGUACACAUUAGGAGCACUCAUUAGCUGCUUGUGUCUAAGAUCGUCUGAAUCAUUUCUUGUUGUGGCGUGGGAGGAAUGUAUGGAUGAUUCGCUGAGACAGGGUCUGAUGGAUCCCAGGCUGGCUCUGGAAGUGAUCUUGAAUUCUUGAUCCCACAUGUUGGGUAUACAUGUAUAUGCCAUCAUGCCUGCACUAGUUUGAGGGAUUUCUAAGGAAAUAAUGUUAAUACUAUUCUCUACAUAGAAGGUAUAUGCUGUGAACAUUUGAAAGAAUUAUUUGAAAAAAAAAAAGAAGUAUUUGAAUGACCUCAGAUUAUGCCAUAAGUCUAGAUAUCUUCUGAAUUAAAAUAUCCCUUAAGUAAUCCCUCCGUGGGCUACAGAUGUAGCUCAGUUGUUAGGGUACUUGCCUAGCACUGUACCCCAGGCCCUGGGUUCAUUCCCCAGCACCACAGAAAACUAGGCAUGGUAGUGCGCACCUGUGAUCCUAGCACCCGGCGGGCAUAGAUAAGAAGGUCACAAGUCAAAAAUUAUCCUUAGCUACACAGGGGGUUUGAGGCCAACUUGAGCUACGUGAGACCUUGUCUCAAACCCGCAUAAAUAAAUUCUAAUGAAAAGAAUCCCAGCACUCAGGAGAUAGAGGGAGAGGAUUCUUAGAGGCCAGCCUAGACUAAGUAUCAAGAACCUGUCUUGGGCUGGAGAGACGGCUGGCUCAGAGGUUAAGAAGACAGUCUACUCUUCCAGAGGACCUGGGUUCAAUUCCCAGCACCCAUAUGUUAGUUCAUAACCAUUGUAACUCCAGUCCUAAGGGACCUAUUGCUUUCUUCUGGCUCCUAUGGGCAACAGACACAUACAUGGCACACAGACAUAUGCAGCCAAAACAUACAUUCAUAGACAUAUGAAAUAAUAAUAUUUUUAAAAGACUCUGUUUCCAAAUAAAUGGCCACAACUAGUGUAUAGGGGUUGCAGGGGGACAGAGUCCUAUGUUGUAUUUUCAGAGAACAAAGUGACUGAUUACAAAGGGUGCAGCCAUAAGAUACCUGAGGCGGUAACGUACAGAUGUGAAUGUCAGUGUAAUUAAUGCCAGAGGAAGGGAAGUAGGCAGAGGAAAGAAAUUGGGACAUGGCUUUAGAAAUGGUGUCGUGCCGUACAGCUCCUCAAGAAGGGCUUGCUUAUGAAGAUGGCAAUGGAUGCUUCCCAGAAAGGAAAGCCAUGAAAAGUGACACAGCUGGAAAAGCAUGUGUGUAGGAAGUUCAGAGAAGAGCAAGCACCUGGUGUGGUGGUGCACACCUGUAACCACAGUGCUCAGGAGGCUGAGGGAGGAGACAGCCAAAGCCACACAGUAAGACCGCAUCUUUUUUUCCUUUUUUUUUUUCUUUUUUAAAUGUAUAUGAGUGCACUGUAGCUGUCUUCAGACACACCAUCGGAUCCCAUUACAGGUGGUUGUGAGCCUCCAUGUAGGUGCUGGGAAUUGAACUCAGUGCUCCUAAUCGCUGAGCCAUCUUUCCAGCCCCCUUUAUAUCUCUUUCUUUCUUUCUUUCUCUCUCUCUCUCUUUCUUUUUUCUUUCUUUCUCUCUCUCUCUUUCUUUCUUUCCUUCUUUCUUUCUUCCUUCCUUCCUUCCUUCCUUCCUUCCUUCCUUUCUUUCUGUGUUUAAUUUGGAUGAAAUGUAGGAAAUAGAGGCAAUAAAAGGCAAAUGCAGAAUGCUCUGAAAUAGUAACUAGUUACUACCUAUAUUUAAAAGAUUUUGCAUAGCCAGAUGUGAUCAACUGUAUGUUUAAUUCCAGCACCCAAGAGGCAAGAAGCAAACGGAUCUCUGUGAGGUCAAGGCUAGCCGGGACUGCAUAGCAGACCCUGCAUAGAAAAUAAAAUAAAUAUAAUUAAAUAAAUGUAUUUUUGAAGAAAUUGAGCUGCGCUGUUCAUUUUAGAAGAGUUAAAAAUGGUAGCUCAUGCCUAUAAUCCCAGCUCUUGGAAGUCAGAGAGGAUCAUAAAAAGUUCAACUUUCUUGGCUAUACACUAAGUUUAAGGACCAUCCUGGGCUACAUGAAUGUCAGAAGGAGAGGCGGGGGGGCGGAGGGGAAAAAGAACUCUAGUUCUCCAUGUUGACUUGAUACAUUGUACAGACAUUGGUGGCCAUAUUGUCCUAAAACCAUAAAGCUUUUUUUAAAACCAUUUUCCCACUUGUACAGUACACUUUUUUUAACAUGUAAAAUCUAAAUAAUGAAAAACAGGAUUUGGUUAGGGUUUCAGGGUUUAACCCUUGCCAUAGAGCCUGACAACCUAGAUUUGCACCCCAGGAUUCACAUGCUAAAAGGAGACACAUAGCAUAGCCUUCCUCUAAAAGCUUUUCUCUGACCUCCACACGUUCCGUGUGGUACGUGCACACAUUCAUAUACACAAGAAUAAAUGAAUUUUAAAAUAACAGAACAAGUAAGCAAUAUCCAGCAAGGGCUGGACAUCCAGAGUCAGAAGCCAGAUUAAUGGUGUCAGGGGCUGUGAGGCAGGGAAAUGGGGAGGGACCACUUAAAGGUACGUCUUUCCUUUGCAGUAAUAAAAAUGUUUGGAACUUGAUAGUGAUAAUUGUGCAACACUGUGAAUGUAGUAAUUGCCAGUGACUUGUAUCACUUAAGGUGGGUAAAGUAGUGAGUUUUAUAUUCUAUGAAUGCCACUAAAUUAAAACAUAGCCAGAAACAGGAUGAUUGCCUGUGAACUUGUAAAGCAGGUGCUGAGAUGUUUUUAAGCCAGAUAGCAUCAAGGCCUUGUGGUUACAUUUGAUGAGAUUUGAGAAAUAAGGAAGUAGUGGAGACCAGUUAAGACUCUGAGGAACCUGCUCAUGCUAGAAAGUUAAGGAAGUUCAGAGAAAAAUGUGUCCAAGCUAAAACUGUCAGAUGGAAAGGCAAAGAGCUGGCAGGUGUGGGCGAGAGGCACUCAGAGGCAAACAAGACACCAGAGCUGGGGAACAGGGGUCCAGAUGGAAAUGGAAAGGCCAGCCUGUUAGAUUCUCAACACUGCAAGCUUAAGGUGCAGGUUGAUGGCCAUUGUUGUGGGACCUUCUGCUGGGCAAAUGUCCCUAUAGUUAUCCUGGUUUCUUGGUCGUGGCAAUUCUGAGGCUACAGUAGAUUUUUGUUUGUUUUAUCCUGGUCAAACUGGGCAACUUUAAGUUCAUGUCUCCCCAGAUUCUCCAAAAGCAUCAAUCAGGUGGCUAGGAAUAAUUAAGUCCUUUGGGCAGAGAGAGAUUUAUUAAGUGGACAACACCAGUGCCUCUCUUCU